UAAACACCUCUUAUCUUCUGGUUUUUCCUUCUUUGUGUCAGUUUUGUCUCUUUUUUUUUUUUCGUCAAAUAACAUAAUUUAUGAUUAUUGAAGAUGGUGUCUUGAAUGUCGGUUACUUUGAUCCACUUUAAAGUUAAACAGUUAACACAAUUUUAUUCUUUGAUUUUUUUUUAAUUCAAUUUUAUUCUUUGAUAUUUUUUUUUUAGUUGAGUUCAAAGAUCUUUGAAAUCGAGAGGGAGCUUGAGCAAAGCACAGCAGUGAAGGGAAAUGAAGUUAAUUUGGAGGCUAUGGUCUCUUAACAAGCACAACCAUUGGCUAUUCAAGCUAGCAGUUGCCAUUCUCUUGAUGGGUCUUUCUUUUAGGCUCUUCUUCUAUCAAUCUACGACAUUUGAACCCAAUUUCGAGCACCCUUUUCUUGAUAAAACACAAGUGCCAAAGCCACCUCUUUCUGCUGAUAUUCCGAAGCCACCGGUUGCUGUUGAUAUUCCGAAGCCACCGGUUUCUGUUGAUGUGCCAGAACCUGAAGAUGAGGAGGCGCCUAAAAAUGGUAAUCAUAUUCGGCUGCUUUUGAGUUGGGUAUUUGUUGAUUUUCUUUUUAGCUUCCUCUAUUCUCGUCCAAUGCGCAGGCAAAUUGAGUCAGCUAGGAGGAGAAUGACUGUAAUUGACAAGUGUGGUCUGUGUUAUUCAUGAAUGAGAGCAAUUGCACUAGAUCUGAGCAGUAUUAGUAAACUUUUUUUAUUUGAAAUUUGAGAUUUUUGAGGGGUUUGAUCUCAGUCUGGUUGUUACACAAUGAAAAUUUUAAUAGCUUUUGGUCUAGUUAGCACUGUGCGUUUGUUAGAUCUAUUAUUAUCUACUUAAUGGCAUCUCUUACUUUCCACAAAAUCUAUCAUUUCAGAUAUUAUUAUCCUCUGAGAAGCCCCUUUUAGUUCAGUUCUUUGAAGCAAGGUUUUGCAGAACUUGAUGCAGGAAAGUGUGAUCUUUCUGUUGGGGAUUGGAUUCCCAACCCGUCUGGCCCAAUUUACACAAAUGCUAGCUGCCCUUUGAUUGAAGGUCACCAGAAUUGUAUGAGGAAUGGGCGACCAGAUUCAGGUUAUCUAUUCUGGAGGUGGAAUCCACGAGAUUGUGAAUUACCUCAAUUUGAUCCUCAAAGAUUCCUUGAGUUAAUGAGGAAUAAAACAUGGGCAUUGAUCGGUGAUUCAAUAUCUCGCAACCAUGUGCAGUCAUUGCUGUGCAUGCUCUCCCCAGUUGAGCAAGCCGUUGAAGUUUAUCAUGACGAGGAAUACAAAUCAAAAAGAUGGCACUUUCCUUCCUACAACUUUACCAUAUCAAAUAUUUGGUCCCCUUUCCUCGUUGAGGCAGCAAUCUUUGAAGAUAAUGAUGGUGUUUCAACAGCUGAAGUUCAGCUGCAGCUUGACAAACUUGAUAAAAAUUGGACAAAUUUGUAUGGGAAUUUGGAUUACGCCAUUAUCUCAACUGGAAAAUGGUUCCUUAAAGCUGCAAUCUAUCAUGAGAAUGACACAGUAGUGGGCUGCCAUAUAUGUCCUGGAAAGAACUUUACAGAGAAGGGAUUUGUCUUUGCUUAUGAGAAAGCCCUCCAUUAUGUGAUGGACUUCAUUGCAACAUCCAAGCACAAAGGGUUGAUCUUUUUUAGGACAUCAACUCCUGAUCAUUUUGAGAAUGGAGAAUGGCAUAAUGGAGGGACUUGUCCAAAAACAACACCUUCUAAAGAGGGUGAGAUGGAAAUGAAGGACUUGAACAGGAUUCUGCGUGAAACUGAAUUAGCAGAGUUUGAGGAGGCAUCAGCAAAAGCUGCUGAAAAUGGAGUAAAUCUUAAACUUCUUGACUUCACAAAUCUUUUAGUAUCAAGGCCUGAUGGUCAUCCAGGCCCAUACAGACAGUUCCAUCCAUUUGCUGAGGACAAAAACGCCACAGUUCAGAAUGACUGUCUACAUUGGUGCUUGCCUGGGCCAAUUGACUACUGGAAUGAUGUGAUAAUGGAGAUGGUAGUUAAUAGUUGAGAAAAUCAGCAAGAGGCCUAACCUGCUGCAUUGUUAUCCUAUAAUUUUCAAUUAUACGAAUACUGUUGAUGAUUCUCAAUGGAAGUCACAGAUGAAUGGCAGCUUGCUAGUUUUUAGCCUGUGCAUAAUGGCACCGGCACCAGCACAGUUCAUCUCUUUCUUCUUUUUAGCUGCUGGUGUUGUCUUGCUCCGGAGUUCGUAUUUAACAUUUAAGGAAUUUUCAGUGCUGCCAUUUGUGACUUCAGAGACAGCGGAAGAUAGUUAAGCUUAUAUAAGAAUCAACAUUUCAAUUUCGUAGAAAAUAUAUGUAAAGAAUCAGAAAUAACUUAAUAUAAGAAUGAAUUAUGCGAC
RNAcentral lists this unclassified non-coding RNA (2369 nucleotides) under Hevea brasiliensis (rubber tree). The record is from RNAcentral. Lineage: Eukaryota; Viridiplantae; Streptophyta; Magnoliopsida; Malpighiales; Euphorbiaceae.